Molecule: long non-coding RNA, 680 nt
Organism: Sinocyclocheilus anshuiensis
Lineage: Eukaryota; Metazoa; Chordata; Actinopteri; Cypriniformes; Cyprinidae
Exons: 2
Source: RefSeq, a predicted model, not a curated record
AGAAAUUGUACUACAUCCAGGAAUCUCAUGGUAUUGUGGUCACAGACGUGACGUUCCUACCUGACGCUCCUAAAAGUAAAGCCGUGAAGGGGAAUAAUGAAGUGGUCAUGUUGAGCGUAGCCGUCGACAGCCGCUGUCAGGUGCAUGCCAUCUCCAACCGGAGAUCAUUCCCGCUGUGGCUGGUGCUGUUCUUCUGCGGUCUGAUGGUGGUUGGAGUGAUUCUGCUCCUGCAGUCUCUCUUCCCAGGAUUCAUUUAGUGUAGCCUAUCCCUUCUCACCAUCACCUGAGCGUAACAUUUUAUAUACUAAAAAAUGACUUGAAGCAAAGCUGGAUCUAUGAAAUUGUUUAAUCAAUUGGAAAUAAUAAUGGAAAUGGGAAUUCGCAUCAUGUUUUAACUGAAGUAAGUCUCCGGAGUGUGAAUUUGAGCUCUGACUUCUUAUGAAUCAGAUCGGAUGAAGAAUUUGGGCAUGACCUGAAGAUCCUGAACUGCUGGUUCUCCUCAUCAGUGAGUGAACUGUUUCAGGACCGUUGAAAAACAGGACUGGAUUUCCUGACUGCUCCACCAGCAUGAGUCAUCAAAUGCCUUUUAAUGGAGAAAUAUAUAUGCAGGGAAUUUCAACAGUGAAUUAUUUUAAAUAUUUAAAAUCAUGUAAAAAAUAUAAAUAUACAUCUGAACAACA